Molecule: long non-coding RNA, 571 nt
Organism: Triticum aestivum (bread wheat)
Lineage: Eukaryota; Viridiplantae; Streptophyta; Magnoliopsida; Poales; Poaceae
Exons: 2
Source: RefSeq, a predicted model, not a curated record
UAGAGAGUUCUUAAGCCUUCGAAUUAGCAUGUGUGGACAUUUGAUUGAAUCAACUCCUCCUUUUAGUUGAAAGAGGAAGCGAGGCUGUGGUGAAUUAAAGAGAUUUAAUCAAUCCAGAGAUGUUGUAAAUUGACACAGUUGAACCACAUAUUUGGAGAGAUGAUGCCGUUGACUUCCGCAACGAUGAGCAAGGUGGCGAAUACCCGCUAGAGAGAGUGGGAGAACUUCUAGCACCACUCGACAGCCAGAUCAUCAACCAUGUAAGGUAUGGGGGCAAACAACACCCAUGAUUGUUUUUUCUGUAUUCGUCCGUUCUUCUCAGCAGCAAGCCGGCAACUUAGCCAAUGAUGUUGGACGAUCCAAUUCUUUUGGACUCAAACUCUUGGAUUGUUGCUGUAUAUUCUGAAUUUCUUUUGUAAACAAAAGCGAGGAGUUUGAGAGGAGCUGCAAUUGUAAAAUUUACUUGUUUUCAUUCGAAUUGUUUACUUUAUUAUGAAAUGAUUUUUAUUUCUUCUGGAUUUGAUAUACUAUUCUUUGGCUCAUGGGAUUGCCUGACAUGGUGAAGAGCUAA